ACCGGGAUGGACGCACCGCUGGUGUACCAGUUGUUCUGCCAAGGGCAUCGCGUGGGUAGCUAUGUGCGGACGGGAUAAGUGCUAGAAAGCAUACUAAGCAUGAAGCCCCCCUCAAGAUGAGAUUUCCCAUUCCGCAAGGAAGUAAGAUCCCUGAAAGAUGAUCAGGUUGAUAGGUCUGAGGUGGAAGUGUGGCGACACAUGGAGCUGACAGAUACUAAUCGAUCGAGGACUUAACCUAAA
Molecule: ribosomal RNA, 240 nt
Filed under: Bacillus haynesii
Lineage: Bacteria; Bacillati; Bacillota; Bacilli; Caryophanales; Bacillaceae
Description: partial 23S ribosomal RNA
Rfam family: Bacterial large subunit ribosomal RNA
Source: RNAcentral